GCCUACGGGGGGCAGCAGUGGGGGAUAUUGCACAAUGGGGGGAACCCUGAUGCAGCGACGCCGCGUGGGUGAAGGAGCGUUUCGGCGCGUAAAGCCCUAUCGGCGGGGAAGAAAAUGACGGUACCUGAUUAAGAAGCCCCGGCUAACUACGUGCCAGCAGCCGCGGUAAUACGUAGGGGGCAAGCGUUAUCCGGAUUUACUGGGUGUAAAGGGAGCGUAGACGGCAACACAAGUCUGGAGUGAAAUGCCGGGGCUCAACCCCGGAACUGCUUUGGAAACUGUGCAGCGAGAGUGCAGGAGAGGGG
Molecule: ribosomal RNA, 305 nt
Filed under: uncultured bacterium
Lineage: Bacteria
Description: bacterial SSU rRNA
Rfam family: Bacterial small subunit ribosomal RNA
Source: RNAcentral